UCCGUUUUCUCGUCAGAGGCCCCAGGCGACGCCAGGAGGUAAGAUUUACCUCACUGGUCAAGGGCAGCCUCUGGCCUGGACACCUGCGAUAGACAGACGCCUCCCCUGCUCACACCUGAAACACACCGCAAUGGCCGAGGACCAGUUACCGGUCGUCGACAGGCGUCCUCCACAACUCCUCCACAAGUGCGCUUCACCUGAGGUGGCCCCUUCUCCGCGACGCUUCUGAGAUUCGAUUUUUCCAAUUGCUUUCAAGUAUGGCGGCUUGCCUUCACCUUCAGUACCUAAUCCAGGAACUUGGUCUUCCACCUGCACCAUCUCUAAUCUGUGAAGCUGGAAGGUGAUGUUUUGUCAGCCCAGCAUCCCUCCCCUCCUUCCUUGGGUAAAAAUCUCCAUCCCUCUGGCUACAGAGGUGGGCACAGAGCCCAGAAUGAGCCAAUCACAGUAACUCAUCUCCCACCAGGAUUUUCUAUAUUGAAGCCAGAGAGGAAACUUCCUGCCUCUCUGGAGUAUGUGAGCCAGGAACUGCCAUGUCCUCACCAAGGAGAGAAAAGCUGAUGUGCAUAGAGAAGCACAGAUAGACAGUGCUGAGCAAUGGUUCAGGAAGAGUAUCUUCCUCCUGUACCCCUCUUUGUUUUUCCUUAAGAAGCUUGAGUUAGAUUUGUCCCUUGCAAUCCAAGUUUAUUUAGUGGCUAAAAAUUAAUUUUGUAGAGACUUGGGUGGAAAAGCUGUCUCUUAACUUAAUAGACCUGAG
This 754-nucleotide long non-coding RNA is filed under the name Pan troglodytes (chimpanzee). Its description in RNAcentral is "long non-coding RNA NONPTRT003630". The record is from RNAcentral. Lineage: Eukaryota; Metazoa; Chordata; Mammalia; Primates; Hominidae.